AAUAAACUAUAAACAAAGCUAGCUGAUAAACACGGAAAAGGGGAUUCCAUCGUUUGCAAAUAUCAACCUAUAAAAUCGUCUGGCAAUAAAUUAAAUGUAUAGUUUUCCCUAGAACGUUACAAGUGAAGCUCCAGUAAAAUGAUGAAAAUAAGCUACAUUUUUGCUUUAAUCGUAGUUUUGUUUAUCAUUUCUACAGAAGCAACGUUUGGCGAUGAGGAAAGUCACACUGGACGUGUGGAAAGGGGUUUUUUCUGCAAUCCGGCUAUUUGCCACAGAAAGUGCAGAUUAGAUGGAUAUAGGAGAGCGUCGUGUUCAGGCGAUGAGUGUAUUUGCAUUUAAUACAAUUGAUUCUAACUUAUGCAACAAUUAAAACUGUAUGCUGAAAUAAACAUUAAACCAGUUUA
This is a long non-coding RNA of Tribolium castaneum (red flour beetle), 404 nucleotides long. RefSeq lists it as uncharacterized. Lineage: Eukaryota; Metazoa; Arthropoda; Insecta; Coleoptera; Tenebrionidae. The record is from RefSeq and is a predicted model, not a curated record. The transcript has 2 exons.